GACGAACGCUGGCGGCGUGCUUAACGCAUGCAAGUCGAACGGAAAGGCCCUGCUUUUGUGGGGUGCUCGAGUGGCGAACGGGUGAGUAACACGUGAGUAACCUGCCCUUGACUUUGGGAUAACUUCAGGAAACUGGGGCUAAUACCGGAUAGGAGCUCCUGCUGCAUGGUGGGGGUUGGAAAGUUUCGGCGGUUGGGGAUGGACUCGCGGCUUAUCAGCUUGUUGGUGGGGUAGUGGCUUACCAAGGCUUUGACGGGUAGCCGGCCUGAGAGGGUGACCGGCCACAUUGGGACUGAGAUACGGCCCAGACUCCUACGGGAGGCAGCAGUGGGGAAUAUUGCACAAUGGGCGGAAGCCUGACGCAGCAACGCCGCGUGCGGGAUGACGGCCUUCGGGUUGUAAACCGCUUUCGCCUGUGACGAAGCGUGAGUGACGGUAAUGGGUAAAGAAGCACCGGCUAACUACGUG
This 468-nucleotide ribosomal RNA is filed under the name uncultured bacterium. RNAcentral's name for it is "partial 16S ribosomal RNA". It matches the Rfam family "Bacterial small subunit ribosomal RNA", at positions 28 to 507 of the family's 1533-position model. The record is from RNAcentral.